CCUACGGGUGGCAGCAGUGGGGAAUAUUGCGCAAUGGGCGAAAGCCUGACGCAGCGACGCCGCGUGAGGGAUGAAGGUCUUCGGAUCGUAAACCUCUGUCAGCAGGGAAGAACGGUCACUGUGCUAAUCAGCAGUGAAUUGACGGUACCUGCAAAGGAAGCACCGGCUAACUCCGUGCCAGCAGCCGCGGUAAUACGGAUGGUGCGAGCGUUAAUCGGAAUUACGGGGCGUAAAGCGCUCGUAGGCGGUAUGGCAAGUCAAGGGUGAAAUCCCCGGGCUCAACGUGGGAACUGCCUUUUAAAAUGGCAAACUGGAGUGUGUGAGAGGAUAGGGGAAUUCCAGGGGUAGGAGUGAAAACGGUA
Molecule: ribosomal RNA, 362 nt
Filed under: uncultured bacterium
Lineage: Bacteria
Description: partial 16S ribosomal RNA
Rfam family: Bacterial small subunit ribosomal RNA
Source: RNAcentral